Molecule: ribosomal RNA, 205 nt
Filed under: uncultured bacterium
Lineage: Bacteria
Description: partial 16S ribosomal RNA
Rfam family: Bacterial small subunit ribosomal RNA
Source: RNAcentral
UAGCCUGAUGGAGGGGGAUAACUACUGGAAACGGUAGCUAAUACCGCAUAACGUCGCAAGACCAAAGAGGGGACCUUCGGGCCUCUUGCCAUCGGAUGUGCCCAGAUGGGAUUAGCUAGUAGGUGGGGUAACGGCUCACCUAGGCGACGAUCCCUAGCUGGUCUGAGAGGAUGACCAGCCACACUGGAACUGAGACACGGUCCAG